Molecule: ribosomal RNA, 261 nt
Filed under: uncultured prokaryote
Description: partial 16S ribosomal RNA
Rfam family: Bacterial small subunit ribosomal RNA
Source: RNAcentral
UACGUAGGUGGCAAGCGUUAUCCGGAAUUAUUGGGCGUAAAGAGCGCGCAGGUGGUUGAUUAAGUCUGAUGUGAAAGCCCACGGCUUAACCGUGGAGGGUCAUUGGAAACUGGUCGACUUGAGUGCAGGAGAGGAGAGUGGAAUUCCUAGUGUAGCGGUGAAAUGCGUAGAUAUUAGGAGGAACACCAGUUGCGAAGGCGGCUCUCUGGACUGUAACUGACACUGAGGCACGAAAGCGUGGGGAGCAAACAGGAUUAGAUA